GAUGUACGAAACGAACAGAAUCCGGCCUGCUCUUUCAUAACUGCGUUGGCUCAGCAGGAAGUAAUGGUGUUCAAAACUUGCUUUCUCUUACUGAGUCUUGGAACAGCCUCCUGCACUGUGAGCAUUUUUGGAGGAGGAGAUGCCUGGGGCAGACUUCUCUAGAGAUCAUGAAAGAAAUGCAAUCAACCCCUUGUUUUCCAGUCACUGAAACCCAGCUAUCCUAUUUAUGGAUGUUUUAAAACAGCUAAAGUCACUGCAGUGUAACUGCCAGGAUUGGAUUCUGAGUAUCAUAUCUUGGCUCAUCUGCAGGUUUGGGGACAUCACAUUAAACAUCAUGGAUUUUGAUGACUGCCCUCUCUGCUUCCAGGGGAAUGAUACUUUAUAGUUGCUGCAGAUGCAAAGUAUGUUAGGACACGAUCCUUUCAUGGACCUCUCACUGUAGGGCUGGGACAGACAUGACAACAUAUGACGUGUCCAAAGAGGGGUACAAAUAAGCUAUUUGGUUAUCACUAGUGUGAAGCACUUACCUGCCAGGAAAUAUCAAGAAAUUAUCUUUGGUGUUGAUAAGGUAUGCAACUUGAUGUUUUGAUGUAUGUGUACAUUGUGAAAUAAUCACCACGAUCAAGGUAACUUUUGACUACUUUCUUGAGAUCUUCACAUUGCUUCUGUAACAGAGCUAUACCAUACUGAAGAGAGCUUCGAAGUCAGAUAUACCUGGAAGCUGGAAUCUUAGGACAAUAAAGUCACCUAAGUUUCUGCAAGACAGGCCAUACGUGUUCACUAUAUUUCCCAAACAACUCUACAGAGUUCAUGACUACUAAAGAAAUCUGGAUGAUAAGAACCGCCUCUCAGUGUUGUAUUGAGAACUAGCUGAUGAGACUGAGGCUUAGAGAGGUGAAGGGAAUUGUCAAGCUGGGACUUCAAACCCCCAGUGCCUGCACUGUGUCACCGCUGCACCGCCACUGGACACACUCCAAUAGGGUCUCCUGGACUCCUUAAGGGGAGACUGCGAGUUGAAUAUUUUCUGGCAAAACAAAAACACCUGCCUCUUUAAAAUUCGACCCUAAUUGUAAAACAGUUUACUUCUCACUGCAGUACUAGGUAUCAUAUUAAUCUUUCGUUCUGACCUCAUUCUGGCAAGUCGUUUUGGAGAGAGGAAUAAAUAAUGUUCCCGUAAAUUGAUUUAUAUGAACUCUAGAGAUAUAGUACUAGCAAGAAAUACCAGGCCACGUCUUGGCCUCCGUCAGCAGAUCAAAGAUGUCUGUGUCCUAUUAUUUGUCUUCAUAUCAAGUUCAGAAUGAUUACUGAAAUGCUCACUUUCCUAAUAACACACCUUCAAUCAAGUCUCCUGCACUUUGACCUCUGCUGAUCUGGUCUCAAAUACAAUGCAAUGACUUCUCCCAACAGCCAGGAAACAACCAGUUGUAGGAAUCUGAACUUGAAGUGGAGGGUCAGGCUGGAACUGAGAAGAUGAGCAAUCAGAACAAGGAGGUUAUACUUGUAGACUUCCAAGUACUAAAAUGAACUCUGCAAAAAUACUCUAUUGUAGAGCCUCACGGGGCCCUGCCCCUUUCACUUCGAG
This is a long non-coding RNA of Equus asinus (donkey), 1582 nucleotides long. NCBI's taxonomy places the organism in Eukaryota, Metazoa, Chordata, Mammalia, Perissodactyla, Equidae. The record is from Ensembl.